Molecule: ribosomal RNA, 253 nt
Filed under: uncultured bacterium
Lineage: Bacteria
Description: partial 16S ribosomal RNA
Rfam family: Bacterial small subunit ribosomal RNA
Source: RNAcentral
UACGUAGGGGGCUAGCGUUGUCCGGAAUCAUUGGGCGUAAAGAGCGUGUAGGCGGUCCGGUAAGUCCGUUGUGAAAGUCAAGGGCUCAACCCUUGAAUGCCGGCGAAUACUGUCGGGCUAGAGUCCGGAAGAGGCAAGUGGAAUUCCCGGUGUAGCGGUGAAAUGCGCAGAUAUCGGGAGGAACACCUAUGGCGAAGGCAGCUUGCUGGGACGGUACUGACGCUGAGACGCGAAAGCGUGGGGAGCAAACAGG